Molecule: long non-coding RNA, 663 nt
Filed under: Rhinopithecus bieti (black snub-nosed monkey)
Lineage: Eukaryota; Metazoa; Chordata; Mammalia; Primates; Cercopithecidae
Description: lncRNA (ENSRBIG00000046614.1)
Source: RNAcentral
AUAGUUUUGAAUGCAUUUUUCAUUAUUUGAAACCUUUUUCUUCUAGCAUGUAGUAAUGGUGGGAGAACUAAAUGACCCUGAAAAUUCUGGAAAUGAGGAGAAACAGACUAAAGCCAUAGGCAGCAGAUGAAUGAAGAGAGAGAAGAGUGCUUUAGAACGCCUCCAUCACCACCUGUUGCACUGUCCUGAUGCUUGUGCUCCCCUUCAAGAGGCAGAUGGAACAAAUCUGGGAUGGCUGGCUCACUGUGAGUGUCUCCCAUGUCCCUGUGUCACAGACACAGGGUGUCAUAGUCACCCUGAAUGUCCACCAGUUAAUGUUUUCUUUGUGGCCCUGUUCACUGAUUUUGGAUCAGGCUAAUCUUUCCUCAGUGUCCUCCUCUCCCCUAAUUUGUGAGUCUGAGCUGAAAUCCCACUGACAUGAGGGCAAUAGAACAGCAGAAUCUGUGUCUGCAAGUAGGUGGCCUGCUGUGCACUGGUGACCACCCUAGUUGCCUUGGCAAACCUGGCUGGCAUGGUGCUGACCGUCACCAUUCAGAGGGACUGGAUCGUGAGCUGACGGGUGACAACAUAGGCCAGCUGGUUGAUUGGUGUGGAGCUGUACUGGAGAUGCAGAUGUCAACAGAGGAUGAUUCCGAGACAACUGGCCCCUUGCAGUGCAGAUAA